AGAACGGUGGUGUAGUGGAAGCACGUUCCCCUCCCAGGGGCGCAGCGCUGGUUCGAGUCCAGCCCGUUCUCCCC
RNAcentral lists this transfer RNA (74 nucleotides) under Variovorax sp. OK605. RNAcentral describes it as "tRNA_Gly_CCC". It matches the Rfam family "tRNA". Rfam says of the family: Transfer RNA (tRNA) molecules are approximately 80 nucleotides in length. Their secondary structure includes four short double-helical elements and three loops (D, anti-codon, and T loops). Lineage: Bacteria; Pseudomonadati; Pseudomonadota; Betaproteobacteria; Burkholderiales; Comamonadaceae. The record is from RNAcentral.